Cinara cedri is the source of this 250-nucleotide non-coding RNA. Lineage: Eukaryota; Metazoa; Arthropoda; Insecta; Hemiptera; Aphididae. The record is from the annotation of a GenBank genome assembly.
UAAGGGCAUUUUUGUGGUAAAAAUACAUUUCUAGCUUGUUUUUAGAGAAUUUUUCGACCAUUUUUCGGUGCAUUUGAAUCCGGGUCCUAAUAAUAAUAGCAAUAAUAAUAAUAGUAGCGAACGCGAUCCGAAUAUUUCGACGAUCGACGACAGCCACGACUUUACCGGACGUUGCCCGCAGCCGUUUAGGUCCGAAUGUCGUGAACCGCGGCCAUUCAAAUGCCACGGAGUCCGACGACGCGAUAUCGUG